GGGGGUGAAAAGGUUUCGAUCUGGGUAGGUCGAGGCAAAAGUGGCAUGUGGAGGUGUCAGGAGGCCUCCUUAAACACCUGACACAAUACAAACGCAAGCUCGAACAGAGUAGCGGGAUUACAGCUUGCCAAGGCAACGCCUUGUCUUGCUGGAGUUUCGCUUAGCGCUGAAACCCUCAACUAAUUAGUUGAGGUCUCCUUUGGUCAGUCCUACGGGGCCAAAAGGAGUCGAAAGUAGGAUAGUCCGGUAUCUUUAGCUUUUGGGAUACCGGAUGAAACUCAAAAAGCUGUUCUUUCCCGUAUCCCGCUUAUCGGAGACGGGAAAGAGAACUUAAGAAGGUAAGCUAAACAUGUAGAGGCUUUUGCUACGAGAUCCAGGGACGCGGGUUCAAUUCCCGCCACCUCCACCA
Molecule: transfer-messenger RNA, 409 nt
Filed under: Candidatus Omnitrophota
Lineage: Bacteria; Pseudomonadati
Also listed under: 1 other name
Description: JAHIIS01 sp020341815 Standard tmRNA
Rfam family: transfer-messenger RNA
About the family: Bacterial tmRNA, also known as 10Sa RNA or SsrA, is named for its dual tRNA and mRNA-like properties. Its role is to liberate the mRNA from a stalled ribosome. To accomplish this part of the tmRNA is used as a reading frame that ends in a translation stop signal.
Source: RNAcentral